Molecule: long non-coding RNA, 3704 nt
Organism: Salvelinus fontinalis (brook trout)
Lineage: Eukaryota; Metazoa; Chordata; Actinopteri; Salmoniformes; Salmonidae
Exons: 2
Source: RefSeq, a predicted model, not a curated record
GGUCUUUUUCAAAGUCAUUGGAAUGAAGGAUAUGGGAAAACUUUGCAGCUUUAAAAGUUGUCAAUGUUCAUGUUCAUGGAAAGUAGAAUAGGGAGGAGAGAUCUGUAUCAUACUGCCUGACUGCAUGGAAUUGUGAUCAAUCCAGAAAUAGGGACACGUUACCCAUAAGGACACGUGUGUCACCUCAUGGGAAAAUUACUCGGUUUUUAGAACUGGAAUGUGCUAGAGAGAACCAGCAGACACUGGAGAUCUCAUUACCAUAUCAUAGCACAUGUCCGAUAAAAGGUUACACUACCUUAUGGAUCGCCAAAAAGAUGAAGGGACAGUCCACUCCUUUCCCUCUCCCUUCUAAAUCCACUAGCUACCUGGCUUUCUCAAAGGGAGACUUUGACUGCUUACCCUCUCCCAUGCCCCCUCAUACUCCCUGCACUGUGGCUACAGAUAUCCUAAGGCUAUCUCCCAAACUUCAGAAGUGCCAAAGUGGCACGAGACGACAUUGCUAGUUCCGGCCCUCAGCGAUUUGCUCUAUGCACACAUCAUGAUUUAGCAUAUUAUUUUUGGUGAGGAGUGGACAGAUAAAACAACCAAAGGGCUUCUGAGGUUGUUCUAAAAUGUCUCAACUGUGCAUCCUUGGCUUCCCCUUUGAACCUCUCCGUCUCGGGCCUACACUGUAUGGUCAGCACCAGACCAAAUCCCAUUCGUCCUCUCCAUUAAUGCAACCGCCUUAAACCAACAUAUCAUCACAGUUCCAGAAGCUUGCUCUAACUGUAAUUGAAAUGGCCCAAUGGGAAUUCCUUGGUUCUGGUUGCCCCUUCAUGCCCUAUCCCCCAAUUCCCCACCCUCCAUCUAUCACUGUAGCCCUGGUGCUCUUGUAACGAGGAGGGGUUAACAGCGAGGUCGCCGCGCACAUGCGUACUUACUGCCUCCUGAACAGUGGCCCCUCAGUUCCUUUGCAUGUGUACAUAUGACGCCAGCAGAAAACCGGCAUACAGCAUCAUGUCAAGUACAUAUUCAUUUAGCUGCCAGGUGCCAAGGAGUGUUAGCUCGAGAGCAUCUACAGAGAUGCGCUCAGCAAAUGGAUGUACUUCAAUGGGGAUGUGAUCAGAAACGCCAUUCUUCCUUCAGAUGUCGAGUUCACAGGCUUGAUUACACAGCCCCCUCGCGACGCAUCCUGCUACAGAUAAAAUUAAACACCCGCGAUUACAAACGGCUUUGAAAUACCCUGGACCACGAUCAGUGUCAUCCCUUAUUUAAGCUCAUCCUCAAAAGAUGGAGAUUUGAGGAUUCAUACACAAAGUAUUCAAACGCUAUAUCGCACAGCAGCCACAAAUUGUUACUAAUGAAAUGUGAUGGUGUUAAGAGACAGCAAAGACAACAGCCGCUUAAGGUCUCUUGGUGCUGUGUUUGUCAAAUCUAAGGGAUUCUUCUCUUUGGGCGUUUUGAUCAAAGCCUCUUUAACAUUCUUUCACAAGUGCUCAACAUGCAUUCAGUGUAACGUAAAUCAUUAAGCAAUGACAUUAAAAAAUAACAUCUAAUUUCUCAUAGAUAAUAACCAGCUACGAUGAAGCGCACAUACACAGAAAUAGGCAAAGAUUUCUGCUCCAAUGUGCUGUUUUAAGCAUAUUCAUCUGCCUCUUCACAUACAUGAAAGCUGCCAGUUGCCCUUGCCAAGAAGUGGAGGACAUUAAGGGAAGCGUCCUAGUUGAUCUCUGAUGACAAGGAUCUGGAUGAGAGAUCAUAGGCAAGGGGGCGAAAGCUGUGGUCAUCCCCCUGAAAGGAUGGCAUUUCUCCUCGUGGGUCUUGGGCUUGCUAGAUGUUGCCCCAUCUUCAAACAGCACUAAAGAAAACCUUAGAGAUGUGGAUUUUGAAAGAUGAACACAAAGGAUUCAGUAUGCUUCCCUUCGGAACACACAUGCAUCCUGUCAUGAGAUAACCAUUGUCAGCCAUAUGGGCAAACUCCUGAGCUGAUUGGCUCAAAAGAGACCUUUAAAGCCUUCAUUGCUGCCCAGAGACUGGCUUAUCAGAAAACUGUCCGAAAUAUCUCUUAUGUAAGGCAUGGAUAAUGAAUGAAAGAAAAUAACAGCUUUUUUUAGAACCAUCCACAGGGGUUCAUUGAAAUGCAUCAAAAGACAAAAACGCAUCAGAUACCGAGAUGGGCGUGGUCUUUAGCUCCUCCCAGAUGCAUCUCUCUCAUUUUUUUCCAACGAUAGCCUUUUUUGGGUAAAAGUCUGCUACAAAAAAGUCUGUGAGCGCUGUAUGUUAGGGGGCUUGGGCUUUAGUUGACAGUGGAGCCCCAAUUGCGAAGUGUGAAUAGAGGGCUGUUUUAAUAAGCCUGGUACCGGCUGAGCUACACAGGGGGGCUGGCACCAGAAAACUGCACUGCAGAUGAAGAUGAGAGAGAAAUCCAAGGGAUCAGUCUGGCCACAUCAGAAGAUCAGCGCUCAUGGGGAUUUCUGAUUUCUGAUUCUGCAUUUCGCUGCGAGAAAUAUUACGCUUUUACACACUCGGUUGUCAUCAUUGCAUUGUCUUACAUAAGAGUCCUGCCACUGCUGGUGUGGUUCGUUUGAACGCCUGUUAAUUGUCAAGUUGUCAACGGAACAUAGAGGACAUGAAACAGAUUACCUUGUGAAUCUUCUUUGAAAACAUGUCCCACAACUCAAUGGUACUCUACACGAGUAACAUCUUCCUCUGACACCCAUGUUUCAUCCCUCUGAUUGCCUACUGCACCACCUGACCUUUAGAAUCAAUGUUGGGUUCAUCUUCACCAUCACUCUCAUCACACACUGUCAGCAUCAGAGUUGCGUCUGUGCCAAGCUCCUCAGAGCCCCACGUGCUCCGUUUGGAGAGAGAUGAACACAACAUUGAAAUAAAGAAGACGGAGGCGCAGCUGCAUCCAGUUUGUCAUGUAAAGGGUUGCAGUUUCCCGUGGCGAGAGAACCUGAGCCCUAGGACCAUACGUCAGGACUACCGGGCAUGAUGACUCCUUGCUGUCCCCAGUCCACCUGGCCUUGCUGCUGUUCCAGUUUCCACUAUUCUGCCUGCGGUUAUGGAACCCCUACCUGUCCCAGACCUGCUGUUUUCAACUCUUAAUGAUCGGCUAUGAAAAGCCAACUGACAUUUAUUCCUGAUUAUUAUUUGACCAUGCUUGUCAUUUAUGAACAUUUUGAAAUUCUUUCCUCUCUCUACUUCUCUCCUUCUCUCUUUCUUUCUCUCUCUCGGAGGACCUGAGCCCUAGGACCAUACGUCAGGACUACCGUGCAUGAUGACUCCUUGCUGUCCCCAGUCCACCUGGCCUUGCUGCUAUUCCAGUUUCAACUGUUCUGCCUGCGGUUAUGGAACCCCUACCUGUCCCAGACCUGCUGUUUUCAACUCUUAAUGAUCGGCUAUGAAAAGCCAACUGACAUUUAUUCCUGAUUAUUAUUUGACCAUGCUUGUCACUUAUGAACAUUUUGAACAUUUGGCCAUGUUCUGUUAUAAUCUCCACCCGGCACAGCCAGAAGAGGACUGGCCACCCCUCAUAGCCUGGUUCCUCUCUAGGUUUCUUCCUAGGUUUUGGCCUUUCUAGGGAGUUUUUCCUAGCCAACGCGCUUCUACACCUGCAUUGCUUGCUGUUUGGGGUUUUAGGCUGGGUUUCUGUACAGCACUUCGAGAUAUUAGCUGAUGUACUAAGGGCUAUAUAAAAUAAACUUGAUUUGAUUUUGCUA